GAACUCAGGACCUUCGGAAGAGCAGUCGGUGCUCUUAACCGUGUACUGGCUUCAGGUUUCCAGCCUCAGACAUAACUCAGAUUGCAAGUUCUGCCACUCACCAUGGGCUCUAACAACAGACCUCAGUGUUACAACCAGCUUCAACCUAACAGGAUACCCGCAGGCCAAGGAAAUGCCACGCUGGUGUCUGUCACUGAUGUCGGCUGCCAGAGAAUGUCACACCAUGCAUUCAGUCACAGCUCAGCCUAUGCCUGAGGACCACAAAGGCACUUGGUGUCCCCAUAGGACAAGGACUGAACAAGAGUGGGCUGGCUUCUCUUGCCUUCAGUGUCCACAGCACACCCAACAGAGCCUGGAGAGGUUGAUGUAGCCAAGGCUCUUUGACAGUCCUCAGCUCCCACCAGUGGCCUCAAACUCAUGAUCCUCCUGCCACAACCUCCCAGGUGCUAUAAUUACACACAUGUGCCUCUGGGCCCGGCUUGCACAUUAAUGUCCAAGCAAAGUAUGCUUCCGUCAUUCUCCUGGGAGAUUUUGCAAUAAUAAAAUGAACUAUGACACAGCAUAACGCCAGCAGUGCUUUGCUGAAAGAAAGACUGAAUGUUCGGGUUGAGGCAGAGUGAGAGACAGAGACCAGGUGAGGGAGAGGUGCAGGCAUUGGAAGUGCAUUGGAAAAUUCAGACAUGAGAAGCCCUGUACGGAGUACAGGAUGCUUCAUGGUUUCCAGGUUCCACCUCCUGGAGUGAGCUUCAAGUUUGCAAGGGUCAAAUAACGUAACCACACACAGCUCAGUUCUUGCCUAAGGCCCCACCCCUGAGCUGGCUGCAGAGGUAGAGCAGGUAACAUGCUAAAGCCAAAGUAUUAAAAGCCCCGGUCACACAGAAGAACGUUGUACUGGCUGGUUUUGUGUGUCAACUUGACACCAGCUGGAGUUUUCACAGAGAAGGGAGCCUCCCUUGAGGAAAUGCCUCCAUGAGAUUCAGCUGUAAGGUUUUGUCUCAAUUAGUGAUCAAGGGGAGGGCCCAGCCCACUGUGGGUGGUGCCAUCCCUGGGCUGGUAGUCCUGGGUUCUAUAAGAAAGCAGGCUGAGAAAGCCAGGGGAAGCAAGCCAGCAAGUAACAUCCCUCCAUGGCCUCUGCAUCAGCUCCCGUUUCCUGACCUGCUUGAAUUCCAGUCCUGCAUCCUUUGGUGAUGAAUAGCAGUGUGGAAAGUGUAAGCUGAAUAAACUCUUUCCUCCUCAA
This is a long non-coding RNA of Mus musculus (house mouse), 1237 nucleotides long. RefSeq annotates it as predicted gene, 41910. The record is from RefSeq and is a predicted model, not a curated record. NCBI's taxonomy places the organism in Eukaryota, Metazoa, Chordata, Mammalia, Rodentia, Muridae. The transcript is spliced from 2 exons.